This 716-nucleotide ribosomal RNA is filed under the name uncultured SAR86 cluster bacterium. RNAcentral's name for it is "SSU rRNA". It matches the Rfam family "Bacterial small subunit ribosomal RNA", at positions 80 to 790 of the family's 1533-position model. The record is from RNAcentral. Lineage: Bacteria; Pseudomonadati; Pseudomonadota; Gammaproteobacteria.
UCGGGAGCGAGUAAAGUGGCGGACGGGUGAGUAACGCGUAGGAAUCUACCUUUCAGUGGGGGAUAGCUCGGGGAAACUCGAAUUAAUACCGCAUACACCCUUCGGGGGAAAGGGGGCCUCUCCUUGGAAGCUCUCGCUGUUAGAUGAGCCUGCGUGAGAUUAGCUUGUUGGUAAGGUAAUGGCUUACCAAGGCUACGAUCUCUAGCUGGUCUGAGAGGACGAUCAGCCACACUGGGACUGAGACACGGCCCAGACUCCUACGGGAGGCAGCAGUAGGGAAUAUUGGACAAUGGGGGCAACCCUGAUCCAGGCAUGCCGCGUGUGUGAAGAAGGCCUUAGGGUUGUAAAGCACUUUAAGUGAGGAAGAAAAGAUUUAAAUUAAUACUUUAAGUCCCUGACAUUACUCACAGAAUAAGGACCGGCUAACUCCGUGCCAGCAGCCGCGGUAAUACGGAGGGUCCAAGCGUUAAUCGGAAUUACUGGGCGUAAAGCGCGCGUAGAUGGUUUAUUCAGUUGGGUGUGAAAUCCCUGGGCUCAACCUAGGAACUGCAUUCAAAACUUAUAAACUAGAGUACGAAAGAGGAGAGUAGAAUUCAUGGUGUAGCGGUGAAAUGCGUAGAGAUCAUGAGGAAUACCAGUGGCGAAGGCGACUCUCUGGUUCGAGACUGACAUUGAGGUGCGAAAGCGUGGGUAGCAAACAGGAUUAGAUACCCUGG